This 253-nucleotide ribosomal RNA is filed under the name uncultured bacterium. RNAcentral's name for it is "partial 16S ribosomal RNA". It matches the Rfam family "Bacterial small subunit ribosomal RNA", at positions 524 to 776 of the family's 1533-position model. The record is from RNAcentral.
UACGCAGGGGGCUAGCGUUGCUCGGAAUCACUGGGCGUAAAGGGCGCGUAGGCGGCCAUUCAAGUCGGGGGUGAAAGCCUGUGGCUCAACCACAGAAUUGCCUUCGAUACUGUUUGGCUUGAGACCGGAAGAGGUUAGUGGAACUGCGAGUGUAGAGGUGAAAUUCGUAGAUAUUCGCAAGAACACCAGUGGCGAAGGCGGCUAACUGGUCCGGUUCUGACGCUGAGGCGCGAAAGCGUGGGGAGCGAACAGG